GCCCAAUGAUGACACCAAGGCGAAUGCGAGCUCGUUGGGUAAGAGUCUGAGCUCUUCUGUGCUCCUAUUGGCUGGUAAUCUUGGCUGGGCAGGGGAGAUUUGCUGCUUUGCUGUAAGGGCCCGCCUACAUAAAGCAAGUUCUUCCUAUCAAGCUCUUCCUCAGAGAAAUGCAGGAGAGAUUUGGGAAGGAUGAUCAUAAUGUGUGUGUGUGUGUGGACACAGGUUGAAGCUCAGUUCUCUAUAAUGUCCAAUGAGCUAUGAGCUAGUUCUUUUUUGUAAUCUGAGGGCA
Small nucleolar RNA from Carassius gibelio (silver crucian carp), 289 nucleotides. NCBI's taxonomy places the organism in Eukaryota, Metazoa, Chordata, Actinopteri, Cypriniformes, Cyprinidae. The record is from RefSeq and is a predicted model, not a curated record.